AUUGAACGCUGGCGGCAGGCCUAACACAUGCAAGUCGAACGGUAACAGGAAGCAGCUUGCUGCUUCGCUGACGAGUGGCGGACGGGUGAGUAAUGUCUGGGAAACUGCCUGAUGGAGGGGGAUAACUACUGGAAACGGUAGCUAAUACCGCAUAACGUCGCAAGACCAAAGAGGGGGACCUUAGGGCCUCUUGCCAUCGGAUGUGCCCAGAUGGGAUUAGCUAGUAGGUGGGGUAACGGCUCACCUAGGCGACGAUCCCUAGCUGGUCUGAGAGGAUGACCAGCCACACUGGAACUGAGACACGGUCCAGACUCCUACGGGAGGCAGCAGUGGGGAAUAUUGCACAAUGGGCGCAAGCCUGAU
This 363-nucleotide ribosomal RNA is filed under the name uncultured Escherichia sp. RNAcentral's name for it is "bacterial SSU rRNA". It matches the Rfam family "Bacterial small subunit ribosomal RNA", at positions 30 to 387 of the family's 1533-position model. Lineage: Bacteria; Pseudomonadati; Pseudomonadota; Gammaproteobacteria; Enterobacterales; Enterobacteriaceae. The record is from RNAcentral.